CUAUGGUUCAAAUAUUUGGGCAC
This 23-nucleotide non-coding RNA is filed under the name Arabidopsis thaliana (thale cress). Lineage: Eukaryota; Viridiplantae; Streptophyta; Magnoliopsida; Brassicales; Brassicaceae. The record is from RNAcentral.